CCGAGUUUACAACUCCCAAACCCCUGUGAACAUACCUUUACUGUUGCUUCGGCGGGAUCGCCCCGGCGCCCUCGGGCCCGGACCCAGGCGCCCGCCGGAGGACCCAAACUCUUGUUUCCAUUGUGAUUCUCUGAGUGAUACAAGCAAAUAAAUUAAAACUUUCAACAACGGAUCUCUUGGUUCUGGCAUCGAUGAAGAACGCAGCGAAAUGCGAUAAGUAAUGUGAAUUGCAGAAUUCAGUGAAUCAUCGAAUCUUUGAACGCACAUUGCGCCCGCCAGUACUCUGGCGGGCAUGCCUGUUCGAGCGUCAUUUCAACCCUCAAGCCCCUUCGGGCUUGGUGUUGGGGAUCGGCCUGCGGCGUCUGACGCCGUGGCCGGCCCCGAAAUCUAGUGGCGGUCUCGCUGUAGUCCUCCUCUGCGUAGUAGCACACCUCGCACCGGAACUUAGCGCGGCCACGCCGUUAAACCCCAACUUUCUGAAGU
Molecule: unclassified non-coding RNA, 483 nt
Filed under: Nectria sp. OTU_100
Lineage: Eukaryota; Fungi; Ascomycota; Sordariomycetes; Hypocreales; Nectriaceae
Description: sequence contains ITS1, 5.8S rRNA gene and ITS2
Rfam family: 5.8S ribosomal RNA (bases 157-310)
Source: RNAcentral